RNAcentral lists this small nuclear RNA (157 nucleotides) under Macaca fascicularis (crab-eating macaque). Lineage: Eukaryota; Metazoa; Chordata; Mammalia; Primates; Cercopithecidae. The record is from RNAcentral.
GUGCUCACUUCAGCAGUGCAUAUACUAAAAUUGGAAUGAUACAGAAAAGAUUUGCAUGGCCCUGCACAAGCAUGGCCCUUGUACAAGCAUGGCUCCUGCACAAGCAUGGCUCCUGCGCAAACAUGGCACACAAAUUCGUGAAGAGGUCCAUAUUUUU